RNAcentral lists this ribosomal RNA (483 nucleotides) under uncultured bacterium. RNAcentral's name for it is "partial 16S ribosomal RNA". It matches the Rfam family "Bacterial small subunit ribosomal RNA", at positions 30 to 507 of the family's 1533-position model. The record is from RNAcentral.
UUGAACGCUGGCGGCAGGCCUAACACCUGCAAGUCGAGCGGAUGAAGGGAGCUUGCUCCUGGAUUCAGCGGCGGACGGGUGAGUAAUGCCUAGGAAUCUGCCUGGUAGUGGGGGAUAACGUCCGGAAACGGGCGCUAAUACCGCAUACGUCCUGAGGGAGAAAGUGGGGGAUCUUCGGACCUCACGCUAUCAGAUGAGCCUAGGUCGGAUUAGCUAGUUGGUGGGGUAAAGGCCUACCAAGGCGACGAUCCGUAACUGGUCUGAGAGGAUGAUCAGUCACACUGGAACUGAGACACGGUCCAGACUCCCACGGGAGGCAGCAGUGGGGAAUAUUGGACAAUGGGCGAAAGCCUGAUCCAGCCAUGCCGCGUGUGUGAAGAAGGUCUUCGGAUUGUAAAGCACUUUAAGUUGGGAGGAAGGGCAGUAAGUUAAUACCUUGCUGUUUUGACGUUACCAACAGAAUAAGCACCGGCUAACUUCGUG